This 417-nucleotide ribosomal RNA is filed under the name uncultured Glomeraceae. RNAcentral describes it as "partial 28S ribosomal RNA". Lineage: Eukaryota; Fungi; Glomeromycota; Glomeromycetes; Glomerales; Glomeraceae. The record is from RNAcentral.
GAGAGUUAAACAGUACGUGAAAUUGUUGAAAGGGAAACGAUUGAAGUCAGUCGUACCGACGAGAAAUCAGCUCUUCGAGUGCGAACUUGUGGGCGUUCGUGAGUCUUUAACGGGCCUCGCUGUUUGCAAUGUUUGUGCUUCUUGGGUGUACUUGCCCGUGUGGUUGGUUAACAUCAAUUUUGGUGGUCAUAAAAUGACUGGAGGAAUGUAGCUUCGAUCUUGUAUUGAAGUGUUAUAGCCUUCGGUAGAUGUGAUGAUCGAGAUUGAGGAUUGCAACGGAUACCCUUCGGGGCUACCUGUCUGGUCUCUGAUCGUUGCUCUGGUGCCGAAAGCUUGCUUACGGUUAUCAAAGUCGAUGGUCAAUAGGUUAGAACGGGUUAAAUUCGUUAAGGAUGUUGACGUAAUGGCUUUAAACGA